GACGUAGGGCGCGAGCGUUGUCCGGAUUUAUUGGGCGUAAAGAGCUCGUAGGCGGCUUGUCGCGUCGACUGUGAAAACUCGGGGCUCAACUCCGAGCUUGCAGUCGAUACGGGCAGGCUAGAGUUCGGUAGGGGAGACUGGAAUUCCUGGUGUAGCGGUGAAAUGCGCAGAUAUCAGGAGGAACACCGGUGGCGAAGGCGGGUCUCUGGGCCGAUACUGACGCUGAGGAGCGAAAGCCAGGGGAGCAAACGGG
RNAcentral lists this ribosomal RNA (253 nucleotides) under uncultured bacterium. Its description in RNAcentral is "partial 16S ribosomal RNA". It matches the Rfam family "Bacterial small subunit ribosomal RNA", at positions 524 to 776 of the family's 1533-position model. The record is from RNAcentral.